RNAcentral lists this ribosomal RNA (253 nucleotides) under uncultured bacterium. RNAcentral describes it as "partial 16S ribosomal RNA". It matches the Rfam family "Bacterial small subunit ribosomal RNA", at positions 524 to 776 of the family's 1533-position model. The record is from RNAcentral.
GACGUAGGUGGCGAACGUUAUCCGGAAUUACUGGGCGUAAAGGGUCCGCAGGUGGGAUGAAAGGUCUGGCGUGAAAGCCCGAGGCUCAACUUCGGGAUGCCGUUAGAAACCGUCAUUCUAGAAUCACGGAGAGGUCGGUGGAAUUCCCGGUGUAGUGGUGGAAUGCGUAGAUAUCGGGAGGAACCCCUAAAGCGAAGGCAGCCGGCUGGCCGAUGAUUGACACUGAGGGACGAGAGCGUGGGGAGCGAACAGG